This 495-nucleotide ribosomal RNA is filed under the name uncultured bacterium. RNAcentral's name for it is "partial 16S ribosomal RNA". It matches the Rfam family "Bacterial small subunit ribosomal RNA", at positions 28 to 507 of the family's 1533-position model. The record is from RNAcentral.
GACGAACGCUGGCGGCGUGCCUAAUACAUGCAAGUAGAACGCUGAAGGAGGAGCUUGCUUCUCUGGAUGAGUUGCGGACGGGUGAGUAACGCGUAGGUAACCUGCCUGGUAGCGGGGGAUAACUAUUGGAAACGAUAGCUAAUACCGCAUAAGAGUAGAUGUCGCAUGACAUUUGCUUAAAAGGUGCAAUUGCAUCACUACCAGAUGGACCUGCGUUGUAUUAGCUAGUUGGUGAGGUAACGGCUCACCAAGGCAACGAUACAUAGCCGACCUGAGAGGGUGAUCGGCCACACUGGGACUGAGACACGGCCCAGACUCCUACGGGAGGCAGCAGUAGGGAAUCUUCGGCAAUGGACGGAAGUCUGACCGAGCAACGCCGCGUGAGUGAAGAAGGUUUUCGGAUCGUAAAGCUCUGUUGUAAGAGAAGAACGAGUGUGAGAGUGGAAAGUUCACACUGUGACGGUAUCUUACCAGAAAGGGACGGCUAACUACGUG